AAAAGCACCAUCACGCGGUCUCGGCGCCCUAGGCUGGCUAAAAAGUCUCUUUUUUCCAAAGAGAACGCCGAUUCCUCGAAUUUCCUUCACUUUUCCAACUCCCGGAGGGCGCUCCCCUCCCCCGCUCCCGGGGGCGCGGGCUCCGCGGGGCGCGGCCAGCCUGGCCCGCUCGCUCCGGAGUUGUUUACCGGCCCCGCCAACCGACCGGGUUUGUUCCAGCUCCCAGAGCCUGUCUCUAUAAUUAAACUCUUUUUUUAAUUGUGGGGUUGAAACGUCAUUUCGGGGACUUUCCAAGGGUGAGGGAGCCGAGGGGAGGGAGCGAGCCGCCUUAACUCUUCGCUGACCCGGCUUGCGCGCCGCGGUGGGCCAGGAGCAGCAUCCAGCCAGGCAAGGAGGGAUGGGGGUCUGGGGGCCGGAGCCGGCCUGACCCCCCCCCCCCCGCUCCCCGGGACGUGCUCAGCAGGUGCCCCAUGGUGGCGGGAACGGCCGCGAGCCGCGACCCGGGCAGGAAGCCCGACGGGAGGCGUGCACGGCCCUCCCCCGGCUCCUCCGCUCGGCAGUCAACCCUCCGGUUCCUCCCCGCGCCAGGCCAGAGUGGCCGCCCCUUCACCUGCACUGCCGCUUCCGACCGGGAGGCGAUGGGCCAGGUGCUCCGUUCCAGGCCUGACUUCUGGGCCCUCCCCACUCGCUUGGAGCCGGUCCCCUGGUGAGGAGUGGCUAGCCAGAGUGAGGGCUGAUCUUCCUGGGACAAGGCUGGAAACCAUUCCAGUUCACCCCUGAGUCUGGUGGCUUCCAACAUGGUGCCCUCUGGAGGGCUCACUGGAGAAUCUGAGCCAGAGGAGCCCUGUGGCAGGAGAAGCUUUGGGUGUGAUGGAACUGUGUUAUCAGCUUUGCAUCUUCCAGGGGCAGCAAGAGUUGCAAGAAAGUGAAGCAAACCAAGGCAAAAUUGAGAAGCAACAGAAGUAAAAAUGCAAGUGUGUUUGCCUUAGCGCUUGGCUUUGGCGUGCCCCGGCUGUCUGCAGUAGUCUUGCUACAGCUCUUCUGGAAGAUGUGAACGUUGCGGGGAACAUACACAGUGCCUGCAGAUCCCAACUUGUCAAGAUUUGUCCUCAAAAGGGCAAGCAAGGGACUUACCUGCCCUCCCCUAGUCUCCUCUGCUGUGAAAUGGCAAUGACAGCGAUACCCAUCUCCUGGGGCUGCCGCGAGGACAGAUGAGCAAAGCGCUUGGCACGUGUGAGCAUCCCUAGUCAACUGUUGCUGUAUGUUAAGCUGCGAAUUGGCAAGACCGAGAAGAAGGCUGGAGGCCCCACAAAGUGGGGUUCCACGGAGUCACUGGAACACAGUCAAGUAUCCUGAGCAAGAGAGAGAAGAGGGUCCCAGAGGAGGCCCAGGCAGCUGGCGGGUGGAGCGCUGCUCCGACAGCCAAGGACAGCCAGUCACAGCCGGGUGUCCUCCGGGGUGGGAGGACGCAGGGGGCUGCACUGCAGUCCUCCCGCAUUAGCUCAACGCCGCUGCAUCCCCACCCUUGCAUGUGUUCAUCCUGACAUGAAACCCAGCACGCAGUGACCUCACCCCCACUAUGUGCAGCCGCUGGCCAAGCAGAGAGCUGUACCAGAGUGAGCUUCAGAAGUGCUCAUUGGCCUCAGAGAUUUCAUAACUGGGCGUUUCUGCCCAAAUGCAGAAAUCUGUCUUUGAACUAGAGUUUAAGGAUGUGACCAAAUGCUGAGAAAUUCUUAUUUCAGGGCUGAUUUUUUUUUCUGUAAGUAGAAAGGCAAAGAGUUCAAAAUAUAUUCUGGAAAUGUGAACAGCAACUGAAUCUUGGUAAUAUUUAGGGAGUAUUAUUAAUUUUUAGGUGAAAUAAGGACAGUGUGGCUAAGUUGAAUGAGUCCAUUUUUUUUAGAGCUACAUACUGAAAUACCAACAGAUGAAAUGAUAUGAUCCAAUAUAUAGGAUUUACUUCAAAAUUAUAUGGGAGGUGGGGAGGCAGCUGGUGCUGUAAAUGAACAAGCUUGGCCAGGAGUUGGUGAUGUUGGUGAUGGGAGUUCCUCAUACUCUCUGUCUUCUUCUGUACACGCUUGAUGUUUUCCAUAAAAAAAUGUUUUAAGUUCAUAAAAGCUGAAAAAAAUUUAACUCAGGGAUUCUUGUUUUACUGGUUCUUGCAACAUGAUAUUUACUUCCGAAGGACAUGUGCUCUUGGACAAGAGAUGAGCUUGUAGGGGGAUGUGCCCAGAGCCGCGGAGGACUGGCAAAGAGACAGGGAGACCACCACCCCGGGGUCAGG
Equus asinus (donkey) is the source of this 2281-nucleotide long non-coding RNA. The record is from Ensembl. Lineage: Eukaryota; Metazoa; Chordata; Mammalia; Perissodactyla; Equidae.